GUGGGGAAUAUUGGGCAAUGGUCGGAAGACUGACCCAGCCAUGCCGCGUGCAGGAAGACGGCCCUCUGGGUUGUAAACUGCUUUUAUCUGGGAAGAAAAAGGCCAUGCGUGGCAAAUUGCCGGUACCAGAUGAAUAAGCACCGGCUAACUCCGUGCCAGCAGCCGCGGUAAUACGGAGGGUGCGAGCGUUGUCCGGAUUUAUUGGGUUUAAAGGGUGCGUAGGCGGCUGAUUAAGUCAGCGGUGAAAGACUUCGGCUUAACCGGAGCAGUGCCGUUGAUACUGGUUGGCUUGAGUGUCGGAGGGGUACAUGGAAUUGAUGGUGUAGCGGUGAAAUGCAUAGAUACCAUCAGGAACACCGAUAGCGAAGGCAUUGUACUGGCCGACAACUGACGCUGAUGCACGAAAGUGUGGGGAUCGAACAGGAUUAGAUACCCGAGUAGUCC
This 444-nucleotide ribosomal RNA is filed under the name uncultured bacterium. RNAcentral's name for it is "partial 16S ribosomal RNA". It matches the Rfam family "Bacterial small subunit ribosomal RNA", at positions 354 to 796 of the family's 1533-position model. The record is from RNAcentral.